This 1562-nucleotide long non-coding RNA is filed under the name Oryctolagus cuniculus (rabbit). RNAcentral's name for it is "lncRNA (ENSOCUG00000033495.1)". The record is from RNAcentral. Lineage: Eukaryota; Metazoa; Chordata; Mammalia; Lagomorpha; Leporidae.
GAGUAGCUCAAGCAAUCCCCUCGUGAGCUGUCCCAAGGGAAGGGAGACAGCCCAUCCCCAUCACGUGACCUUGGGGAUGAAGCGGCAAACGUGUGAACUGCGGGGGAACGCCUGCCGACCUGCGUACCCUCUCCUGCGAGCAUCGCAGUCUACGCCCCAGACCCCGAGACCUGCAGCUGCUGCUGCGGCCUUCCUGUUUUGCGUCCACCCGGCUCCGGCCAUCAAGCAUGCGCCCGGCCCCUGUUCUUUCCUUCCAAGGCCCUCGCCUGCCAGGUGGCAGCCGCGUGCUGCAGCCAGCUCUCCCAGGGCCACGCCUGGCCUGCAGAGGAUGCAGCCCCGAGCUCCUGCCGGACGCUGGUACCAUCUGUCCCUGUGGUGCUGUCGGGCCCUCCCGUGGAGCGCUGUUGGGGAGGUGCAUCGCUUUGUAUGGAGCCCAAGGAGCCCAGGACUCUCACACACUUUGCUUCACAUUCGUAAUUCAUCACCUCCAGCCUUUUGUGGCUUGGUUUCCCAUCCAUGGAUUGCAUUCAGCAAGAGCCGUACAAUUUCGUUGUCCUCAUAAUUACUAAUUUCCCCAGUCCCCAGCUUGCAACCUCCUGAAACACACAGCCUGCCCUGCACUCCCUUCUAGCCCCGUGGCUCCACCAGGAAAACUUGGUGCCCAUUGUGCCCACAAGAACAGGAGCUCCACACCCUCCGCCCCUACCAGUGAUGGGGUCGGCGGUGUCCCGCAGCCAGCAGCCAAGUCAGCUCCACAGCCUCAGAUCACUCCUGAGUUCCAGUUGCCUUGGGUUGGGUCCUGAGACUGCCACAAGGACUCGCACACAGCAAGCAGGGCCGGGAGUGCCUGGAUCAGCGUCCGGGGCAGUGACACCUGCCGAGCUGGGCAGAGGGAGAGGCGGGCCUGUGAUGCACCUGCAGCAGAGGCCUCAGGUGUGAAAUCCUGUAUCCAGGGAGAGGCGCCCAUAUUGAUAAAUUCUCACUUCCCUGGCUUGACACUCCCUGAUUCGUGAUCCGGCACCCUCCAUGUGAUGUGUGCCCACAUGGCGGGCGGCUCCACACCAUCGGGGUUCCAGCGCUGGGAAGGACUUUACAGAGAUGCACCUGCCACUCAUUAGACUGGGCUGCCCUCUCUCCACGUGUGGGAGGGGCCAGGCCUUGGGGGAGCCUGUCCGUUAUGCUCAGGGCAGUUCCUACAAAGAGACUCCGCCUGGAGCCAGCAACGGGCAACUGUGGCAGCUGCUGGAGUAGGAGCUCAAGUCUUGAAGGGGAGUCGGAGAGAAGUGCAAGCUGCCAGAGGACAAGCUGGGGGAGUGAAGGCCCAGGAAGCAGGAUCCAGCACGUGAUGCCACGCUCGGAGCGCUGGGACGGGGAUGUGUCCUGUGGGACCUCGUGGGCCAGCGCAGCAACAGCAGGUGUCAAUUCUAACAAUGACACAAACCUCAUCUCUGUCCAGGAAGACUCGGGAGCCCUCUGACAUGGGAGAUGGAGGGCAGUGAAUUUGGGUGCUUUGAGCUCCCCAUCCCUGUCGUGUACAAGUGGAGACCAGGCCACCGACAGCC